AAGUCGUAACAAGGUAACCGUAGGUGAACCUGCGGUUGGAUCAUUAGUGGUUUUUACGUAGCGCUGUUGUAGUGUUUCUGUGUGGUGUUUGUGUUUGCUUAGGGUGUUGUCUUUUUGUUUGUCUGUUUUUGUGCAUUGCCUUGUGCGAUGUCUUGUGCAGUGCCUUGUGCAUUGCCUUGUGCGGUGCCUGGCAGUACAAACGGAUCGACGGCAACACUCGGACCAGACCCAAGCCCUUGCAGACAAUAGACGUCUUUGCUUGCUUUGAUGAAACCAAAUCAAAAACAACUUUUGACAACGGAUCUCUUGGCUCUC
RNAcentral lists this unclassified non-coding RNA (315 nucleotides) under fungal sp. RNAcentral describes it as "partial internal transcribed spacer region". The stretch from base 1 to 46 matches the Rfam family "Eukaryotic small subunit ribosomal RNA", at positions 1786 to 1831 of the family's 1831-position model. Lineage: Eukaryota; Fungi. The record is from RNAcentral.